RNAcentral lists this ribosomal RNA (520 nucleotides) under uncultured Glomus. RNAcentral describes it as "SSU rRNA". It matches the Rfam family "Eukaryotic small subunit ribosomal RNA", at positions 569 to 1087 of the family's 1831-position model. The record is from RNAcentral. Lineage: Eukaryota; Fungi; Glomeromycota; Glomeromycetes; Glomerales; Glomeraceae.
AGCAGCCGCGGUAAUUCCAGCUCCAAUAGCGUAUAUUAAAGUUGUUGCAGUUAAAAAGCUCGUAGUUGAAUUUCGGGAUCAAUACGUUGGUCGUGCUUUCGGGUACGUACUGGCGUCAUUGGUUUCUCUCUUCUGACGAACCAUGAUGUCAUUAGUUUGGUGUUAUGGGGAGUUAGGACUGUUACUUUGAAAAAAUUAGAGUGUUUAAAGCAGGCUCACGCUUGAAUACAUUAGCAUGGAAUAAUGAAAUAGGACGUUUGAUUCUAUUUUGUUGGUUUCUAGGAUUGACGUAAUGAUUAAUAGGGAUAGUUGGGGGGCAUUAGUAUUCAAUUGUCAGAGGUGAAAUUCUUGGAUUUAUUGAAGACUAACUACUGCGAAAGCAUUUGCCAAGGAUGUUUUUCAUUAAUCAAGAACGAAAGUUAGGGGAUCGAAGACGAUCAGAUACCGUCGUAGUCUUAACCAUAAACUAUGCCGACUAGGGAUCGGAUGAUGUUAAUUUUUUAAUGACUCAUUCGGCGCC